AGUGAACGCUGGCGGCGUGCUUAACACAUGCAAGUCGAACGAGAACGGGUUAUAGCUUGCUAUAAUUGUCAGCUAAGUGGCGCACGGGUGAGUAAUGUAUAGGUAAUAUGCCUCUUACUAAGGGAUAACAAUUGGAAACGAUUGCUAAUACCUUAUACUCCUUAUUAACCUAAGUUAAUAAGGGAAAGAUUUAUUGGUAAGAGAUUAGCCUGUAUUGUAUCAGUUAGUUGGUGGGGUAAUGGCCUACCAAGACUAUGACCCAUAACUGGUGUGAGAGGAUGAUCAGUCACACUGGAACUGAGAAACGGUCCAGACUCCUACGGGAGGCAGCAGUGGGGAAUAUUGCACAAUGGACGAAAAUCUGAUGCAGCAACGCCGCGUGGAGGAUGACACAUUUCGGUGCGUAAACUCCUUUUAUAUGAGAAGAUAAUGACGGUAUUAUAUGAAUAAGCACCGGCUAACUCCGUGCCAGCCGCCGCGGUAA
Molecule: ribosomal RNA, 484 nt
Filed under: uncultured bacterium
Lineage: Bacteria
Description: partial 16S ribosomal RNA
Rfam family: Bacterial small subunit ribosomal RNA
Source: RNAcentral